CCCUUAGAUGUUCUGGGCCGCACGCGCGCUACACUGAUGCAUUCAACGAGUUUCUUCCUGGUCCGAGAGGAAUGGGUAACCUUUUGAAAGUGCAUCGUGAUAGGGAUAGACUAUUGCAAUUAUUGGUCUUCAACGAGGAAUUCCUAGUAGACGUAGUUCAUCAGACUGCAUCGAUUACGUCCCUGCCCUUUGUACACACCGCCCGUCGCUCCUACCGAUUGAAUGGUUUAGUGAGAUCUCCGGAUUGGCUCUGUAGGUCCCGCAAGGGAUUUAUUAGUAGCCAAGAAGCUGCUCAAACUUGAUCAUUUAGAGGAAGUAAAAGUCGUAACA
Molecule: ribosomal RNA, 330 nt
Filed under: uncultured eukaryote
Lineage: Eukaryota
Description: partial 18S ribosomal RNA
Rfam family: Eukaryotic small subunit ribosomal RNA
Source: RNAcentral